This 254-nucleotide ribosomal RNA is filed under the name uncultured bacterium. RNAcentral's name for it is "partial 16S ribosomal RNA". It matches the Rfam family "Bacterial small subunit ribosomal RNA", at positions 524 to 776 of the family's 1533-position model. The record is from RNAcentral.
CACGGGGGGAGCAAGCGUUGUUCGGAUUUACUGGGCGUAAAGGGCGCGUAGGCGGCCACCGCAAGUCAAUUGUGAAAUCUCCGGGCUUAACUCGGAAAGGUCAACUGAUACUGCGGGGCUAGAGUGCGGAAGGGGCAACUGGAAUUCUCGGUGUAGCGGUGAAAUGCGUAGAUAUCGAGAGGAACACCUGCGGCGAAGGCGGGUUGCUGGGCCGACACUGACGCUGAUGCGCGAAAGCCAGGGGAGCGAACGGG